RNAcentral lists this long non-coding RNA (237 nucleotides) under Homo sapiens (human). Its description in RNAcentral is "non-protein coding lnc-ELAVL2-1:5". Lineage: Eukaryota; Metazoa; Chordata; Mammalia; Primates; Hominidae. The record is from RNAcentral.
UGGCAGAGGACUUCACAGUGGUAUAGGGGAGCAAGCAUCACUUUACUGGGGGAGGGUACAGGGGGGUCUUUAUCAUCACCAGCAUCAUCUUGUUCAUGCAAAGGUCAUUAUAGGAAACAUACAAAGGCCCUAAUGUGUUUGAAGAAGUUUGAGAAAAAUGAUGUGACAGUUCAUGGUUGUGUUAGGGUUACACAGAGAAAUAGAACCAAUAGGAGAUACAUAUCUAUCUAGAUAUAU